AACAGGCCCUUCGGGGUGCUGACGAGUGGCGGACGGGUGAGUAAAGCGUAGGGAUCUACCUCGUUGAGUGGAAUAGCCUAGGGAAACUUAGGGUAAUACCGCAUAAGCCCUAAGGGGGAAAGCCUGGGACCGAAAGGCCAGGCGCAAUGAGAUGAACGUACGUCGGAUUAGCUAGUUGGUAGGGUAAAGGCCUACCAAGGCAAUGAUCCGUAGCUGGUCUGAGAGGACGACCAGCCACACUGGGACUGAGACACGGCCCAGACUCCUACGGGAGGCAGCAGUGGGGAAUAUUGGACAAUGGGCGGAAGCCUGAUCCAGCAAUGCCGCGUGUGUGAAGAAGGCCUGCGGGUUGUAAAGCACUUUCGGUGGGGAGAAAGAGGCCCUGCUUAAUAAGCAGGGUGGAUGAUGUUACCCACAGAAGAAGCACCGGCUAACUCUGUGCCAGCAGCCGCGGUAAUACAGAGGGUGCGAGCGUUAAUCGGAAUUACUGGGCGUAAAGGGUGCGUAGGUGGUGACAUAAGUUAGGUGUGAAAGUCCCGGGGCUUAACCUGGGGAUUGCGCCUAAUACUGUG
This 572-nucleotide ribosomal RNA is filed under the name uncultured bacterium. Its description in RNAcentral is "bacterial SSU rRNA". It matches the Rfam family "Bacterial small subunit ribosomal RNA", at positions 70 to 637 of the family's 1533-position model. The record is from RNAcentral.